AACGAACGCUGGCGGCAUGCCUAACACAUGCAAGUCGAACGAGAGGGCCCCGCAAGGGGCUAGUAAAGUGGCGCACGGGUGAGUAACACGUGGGUAAUCUGCCUUUUAGUUUGGGAUAACCCUUCGAAAGAAGGGCUAAUACCGGAGAGACCACAGGGACAUCAGUCCUAGGGGUUAAAAGAUUGGGACCGUAAGGCCAAUCGCUAUUAGAUGAGCCCGCGCACUAUCAGCUAGUUGGUGAGGUAAUGGCUCACCAAGGCUAUGACGGUUAGCUGGUCUGAGAGGAUGAUCAGCCACACUGGAACUGAGACACGGUCCAGACUCCUACGGGAGGCAGCAGUGGGGAAUCUUGCACAAUGGGCGAAAGCCUGAUGCAGCAAUGCCGCGUGAGUGAUGAAGGCCCUAGGGUUGUAAAACUCUUU
RNAcentral lists this ribosomal RNA (422 nucleotides) under uncultured bacterium. Its description in RNAcentral is "bacterial SSU rRNA". It matches the Rfam family "Bacterial small subunit ribosomal RNA", at positions 29 to 436 of the family's 1533-position model. The record is from RNAcentral.